ACUUCCUGUCACUGUGGGCUGGUUAAUCCCUACUGUCUCUAUGGUAAGAUGACCUCCAACCCUCCCCUCCCCUUAAAUUAUAAAAGUAAUGAAGAAUUUCUUUUUACAGGAUGUUCUUGGGAAAGAUACUAGAGUGCUUGGCCAUUUCCUUCUCCUGCUCAUUUUGCAUAUGAUGAAACUGGGACAAACAGAGUGAGUAUGGGCAAUGAAUUCACUUUCUUGGUCUUCAGUUUCCUCAUUUGUAAAAUGAAGAGGAUGGACUAUGAGCUUUAUCAUAGGAUUGUGGAUUUAUAGCUGGAAUGGACCUUAGAAGUCAUCUAGUUCAUUCUCUACUAGCAGCAAUGCAGUGAUCCAGAACAAUUUGGAGAAACUCAUGAGAAAGAACUCAUGAGAAAGAUUCAGAGGAAGAACUGUGGGAACAGAAAUACAGAAGAAAAACAACUGCUUGAUCACAUGGGUUGAUGGAGAUAUGAUUGGGGAGGUAGACUAAAUGAUCAUCUUAAUGCAAACAUUAAUAAUAUGGAAAUAGGUCUUGAUCAGUGA
RNAcentral lists this long non-coding RNA (543 nucleotides) under Monodelphis domestica (gray short-tailed opossum). RNAcentral's name for it is "lncRNA (ENSMODG00000038670.1)". The record is from RNAcentral. Lineage: Eukaryota; Metazoa; Chordata; Mammalia; Didelphimorphia; Didelphidae.